Aricia agestis (brown argus) is the source of this 145-nucleotide long non-coding RNA. RefSeq lists it as uncharacterized. NCBI's taxonomy places the organism in Eukaryota, Metazoa, Arthropoda, Insecta, Lepidoptera, Lycaenidae. The record is from RefSeq and is a predicted model, not a curated record. The transcript is spliced from 3 exons.
UUUUCCCUAUUUUUUCUACCUUCUAAUCGAAAAUGAAGACGCUGUGGUAAACAUUGCAUAAAUUAGUCAUGAGAAUAAUUCUAAUUAAAAAAUACAACUUUAGCGCCUUCUAAAACGAAGGAAAGUAGAUUCAUUUAGGUUACAG